This 468-nucleotide ribosomal RNA is filed under the name uncultured bacterium. Its description in RNAcentral is "partial 16S ribosomal RNA". It matches the Rfam family "Bacterial small subunit ribosomal RNA", at positions 28 to 507 of the family's 1533-position model. The record is from RNAcentral.
GACGAACGCUGGCGGCGUGCUUAACACAUGCAAGUCGAACGGAAAGGCCCUGCUUUUGUGGGGUGCUCGAGUGGCGAACGGGUGAGUAACACGUGAGUAACCUGCCCUUGACUUUGGGAUAACUUCAGGAAACUGGGGCUAAUACCGGAUAGGAGCUCCUGCUGCAUGGUGGGGGUUGGAAAGUUUCGGCGGUUGGGGAUGGACUCGCGGCUUAUCAGCUUGUUGGUGGGGUAGUGGCUUACCAAGGCUUUGACGGGUAGCCGGCCUGAGAGGGUGACCGGCCACAUUGGGACUGAGAUACGGCCCAGACUCCUACGGGAGGCAGCAGUGGGGAAUAUUGAACAAUGGGCGGAAGCCUGAUGCAGCAACGCCGCGUGCGGGAUGACGGACUUCGGGUUGUAAACCGAUUUCGCCUGUGACGAAGCGUGAGUGACGGUAAUGGGUAAAGAAGCACCGGCUAACUACGUG